This 465-nucleotide ribosomal RNA is filed under the name Vreelandella stevensii. Its description in RNAcentral is "partial 16S ribosomal RNA". It matches the Rfam family "Bacterial small subunit ribosomal RNA", at positions 338 to 795 of the family's 1533-position model. Lineage: Bacteria; Pseudomonadati; Pseudomonadota; Gammaproteobacteria; Oceanospirillales; Halomonadaceae. The record is from RNAcentral.
CCUACGGGUGGCAGCAGUGGGGAAUAUUGGACAAUGGGCGAAAGCCUGAUCCAGCCAUGCCGCGUGUGUGAAGAAGGCCUUCGGGUUGUAAAGCACUUUCAGUGGGGAAGAAAGCCUUGGGGCUAAUACCCUCGAGGAAGGACAUCACCCACAGAAGAAGCACCGGCUAACUCCGUGCCAGCAGCCGCGGUAAUACGGAGGGUGCGAGCGUUAAUCGGAAUUACUGUGCGUAAAGCGCGCGUAGGCGGUCUGAUAAGCCGGUUGUGAAAGCCCCGGGCUCAACCUGGGAACGGCAUCCGGAACUGUCAGGCUAGAGUGCAGGAGAGGAAGGUAGAAUUCCCGGUGUAGCGGUGAAAUGCGUAGAGAUCGGGAGGAAUACCAGUGGCGAAGGCGGCCUUCUGGACUGACACUGACGCUGAGGUGCGAAAGCGUGGGUAGCAAACAGGAUUAGAUACCCUUGUAGUC